GCAGGUCAGGUCUAUGACAUCACCGGGAGCACAAGACGUUCUCUGUGCACAGCUCUCCAGUCAACAUUUUCCCAUCGGUGGAAAAGCGGGGCCAUGUGCGCCUCCAACCAGUCCUUACUUAAAUCCAACUCGGAAACAUUGUUUACGAAAACAAGGCUAUUAGUGCCUGGGAAUUAUUGCCGUAUGAUUAGUGAGAACUGAAUACAAUUAGAUAACAUCUCUUGGUGGAUCGCAGCCCGAGCGAGCGUAUUACUCACCGGCUGUAAUAGAAAAGCAAUGUGGCCUUAAUGUUUAUAUAUGUCACAAAUUAACGGUAAUCACCGCACACUAUAAAUACAGCAUCAGGAAUAUGGCAGCGAGGGUCACAGGGAUGAAUUAGCCGAAUAAAUACAGUGUGA
This is a long non-coding RNA of Hyla sarda, 398 nucleotides long. RefSeq lists it as uncharacterized. NCBI's taxonomy places the organism in Eukaryota, Metazoa, Chordata, Amphibia, Anura, Hylidae. The record is from RefSeq and is a predicted model, not a curated record. The transcript is spliced from 3 exons.